This 356-nucleotide transfer-messenger RNA is filed under the name bacterium. RNAcentral describes it as "JACAEX01 sp013388635 Standard tmRNA". It matches the Rfam family "transfer-messenger RNA". From Rfam's summary of the family: Bacterial tmRNA, also known as 10Sa RNA or SsrA, is named for its dual tRNA and mRNA-like properties. Its role is to liberate the mRNA from a stalled ribosome. The record is from RNAcentral. RNAcentral also lists the same sequence under 1 other name.
GGGGGCGAAAAGGGUUCGACGGGGAUCGUUGACGUCAGGGCUGCAUGCCGAGGUCCCAUUGGCUCGUUAAACAAAUGGGGUUUAAACAUAAUCGCAGCCAACUACGAUUAUGCCCUGGCUGCCUAAGCGCGGCCAGCGUCCCUUCCGUUCUCUCCUGUAGGGCGGAAUGUGGAUGUCAGAAAAACAGGAUAGUUCCUCUCCGACGCUUAUAGGAGGGGAGCGAAUCUUUAUAAGCUAGUUCUUCCAGAAUCCUGUCUGUGGGAGGUUGGGAGGACGAAUUCAAAACACAGACUAUGUAUGUAGAUGCUCUGGCCGAAGGUUCUCGGACGCGGGUUCGAUUCCCGCCGCCUCCACCA